RNAcentral lists this ribosomal RNA (253 nucleotides) under uncultured bacterium. RNAcentral describes it as "partial 16S ribosomal RNA". It matches the Rfam family "Bacterial small subunit ribosomal RNA", at positions 524 to 776 of the family's 1533-position model. The record is from RNAcentral.
UACAGAGGGUGCGAGCGUUGUUCGGAAUUAUUGGGCGUAAAGCGCAUGUAGGCGGCUUGUUAAGUCACGUGUGAAAGCCCCAGGCUCAACCUGGGAAGUGCGCGUGAAACUGGCGAGCUUGAAUCCUGGAGAGGGUGGCGGAAUUCCGGGUGUAGUGGUGGAAUGCGUAGAGAUCCGGAGGAACACCAGCGGCGAAGGCGGCAUCCUGGACUGGUCCUGACACUCAGGAGCGAAAGCGUGGGGAGCGAUCCGG